RNAcentral lists this unclassified non-coding RNA (289 nucleotides) under Phlebia sp. RNAcentral describes it as "partial contains 5.8S ribosomal RNA, internal transcribed spacer 2, and large subunit ribosomal RNA". The record is from RNAcentral. Lineage: Eukaryota; Fungi; Basidiomycota; Agaricomycetes; Polyporales; Meruliaceae.
CGCACCUUGCGCUCCUUGGUAUUCCGAGGAGCAUGCCUGUUUGAGUGUCAUGGAAUUCUCAACCUUCAAAACUUUUUUGCUUCGAAGGCUUGGACUUGGAGGUCGUGUCGGCGUCUCUGUCGACUCCUCUGAAAUGUAUUAGCGUGAAUCUUACGGAUCGCCUUCGGUGUGAUAAUUGUCUACGCCGUGGUCGUGAAGUAUAAUAGUGUUCGUGCUUACAAUCGUCUGCAAAGACAACUUACCUUGACAAUCUGACCUCAAAUCAGGUAGGACUACCCGCUGAACUUAA